ACCGAUUAGCUCUCGCAAGGCCUCCACAUGUGUGAGGAGGAGAGUUUCUGAUGUUCCUCAGCCUUGUCCAACCCGACAAUCUCGUCAAUUGACUGAGUCAAUGAUUCGCUCUAUCUGGGUUGAUAGGCCGGAUGCCGUGGAUGAGGAGGAGGAUGUUCUUAUUGUGGAUCCUGCUCCUUCUUCUUCUACUAACCCACGUCAGGAUCUUUCAGCCAUCAACAUGAUGAUUCCAGAUCUUUAGGAGGAUUUAAGACACCAUCCUUCGAUCUAUCUCUAUGCCAAUAAGGUAGCAUAAGUUGUUCUGUAUUUUUCUUUUUCCCCUUUCGAGACAAUGGUUUCAUCUUGAUUUUUCCAUUUGAUGCAUGUUCCCGACUUUACUCAACCCAGGGGGAACUGGUUUAGCAUUCACUCCUUAUACCAGACCCUCCAUCCAGACUACCGGGAGAUCGUCCAUUCAUAGGGCUUUCAGGGUUUCUUUUGUAUUCCUUCCCAUCGCUACUGUAAUACCC
RNAcentral lists this long non-coding RNA (509 nucleotides) under Panax ginseng (ginseng). RNAcentral's name for it is "long non-coding RNA (PGIN_LNC003917)". Lineage: Eukaryota; Viridiplantae; Streptophyta; Magnoliopsida; Apiales; Araliaceae. The record is from RNAcentral.